RNAcentral lists this ribosomal RNA (497 nucleotides) under uncultured bacterium. RNAcentral's name for it is "partial 16S ribosomal RNA". It matches the Rfam family "Bacterial small subunit ribosomal RNA", at positions 28 to 507 of the family's 1533-position model. The record is from RNAcentral.
GAUGAACGCUGGCGGCGUGCCUAAUACAUGCAAGUCGAGCGAACGGACGAGAAGCUUGCUUCUCUGAUGUUAGCGGCGGACGGGUGAGUAACACGUGUAUAACCUACCUAUAUGACUGGGAUAACUUCGGGAAACCGGAUCUAAUACCGGAUAAUAUUUUGAACCGCAUGGUUCAAUAGUGAAUGACGGUCUUGCUGUCACUUAUAGCUGGAUCCGCGCUGCAUUAGCUAGUUGGUAAGGUAACUGCUUAACAAGGCAACGAUGCAUAGCCGACCUGAGAGGGGGAUAGGCCACACUGGAACUGAGACACGGUCAAGACGACUACGGGAGGCAGCAGUAGGGAAUAUUCCGCAAUGGGCGAAAGCAUGACGGAGCAACGCCGAGUGAGUGAUGAAGGUCUUCGGAUCGUAAAACUCUGUUAUUAGGGAAGAACAUAUGUGUAAGUAACUGUGCACAGAGUGACGGUAACUAAUCAGAAAGCCACGGCUAACUACGUG